ACUUGAACAAAAAAAAGCUAUUAAAAGGGUCACUGAAAAAAGGAUCAUCAAAUGGAUCUCUGCUUCCAAACACACUUGGCAUCAUCAUCAUACUUCUACCAAAUCCAAAAUCUCCAAACCCAUAUCUAGAUUCAAAAAUAUUAUCUCCAAUUUCUCUACCCUUCAUACUCAUUAUAAUCUAAUCUUCACAAUACAAAGCAACAAAAGACCAAGUAAAAAAAAUUAAAUAAACACAAUCACACACAAGUUUGUAGCCAAAAAGUUCACCCUUCUGCCACUCCUUCUAAUAUCUAACAUCUAACAUAUAUAUUCAUAAGACAAAUAUUUAAACAACACAAAUUGCAUGUCAAGCACGUAAUAAAUGGUUUCAAUAGAUUAACACAUUGUAUAAUUCAGUUUAAAAUUUCAUUUAUUCAUAAUUUUGGAUAAACCAAUGGGUUAUGAUCACAAAAACAUAAAAUUAGAUUAAAUUAAAUUAAAUAUUGCAUAAUUUACAGAACAAAAGAUUAGGAUUAGGCAUAACCCUCUUUUACUAUUAGAAAGGGUGAUUUGAUUAUUGGUGGAAUCAUGGUAUCAAAUUUAUGAUUGUUCAAAGUGAUCCUACAACCCCCUUUAAUUGAAAUCAGUGGCCAAAUUACUAUAGUUUAAUGUUGCAGAAACACAGCAUAAUGCAGCAGCCAAAAUAACAAUUCUCCAUUUAAUGAGACAGAUAAUUAGAACAACAAUUCUCCAUUCAAUUCAUACAAAUUAAUUAAGUCCUAACCAAUUAAAAAGUGAACCACAGUGAAGAAUAAACUUACAGCAGGAUCCAUUGAAAUGAAGAGUUCAAUACUGGCAGAUUUUAAAAUCUGCACAUUUUCAAUCCAUUGAGAUGAAGAAGUUAGAAGUAUACCAAUGAAGGAACAAAACAGAACAAAUCAACAAAAUAGAAAAAACCUAGAUAACAAAUUCAGGAUAAAACUCAGAACUCAGAACCAAGGGCAAGGAAGAGGCUUACCUCAAUUGAUGAGCUCCGGCGAGCCACCAACGAAAGAAGAGAACCAAAAAAGAGAGAUACUCCGGCGAAUCAAAGUGAAGACAGAUUCGCAAAUGGGAGGACAAGGCAAAGAGACACAGUCUCGAAUCAAAGUGAUGACUCGAAGAGGUAGAGGUCCGACAAACCACCGGCGAGAGGCAGAGGAGAAGAACUGUUGACGGCGA
Non-coding RNA from Arachis ipaensis, 1200 nucleotides. The record is from RefSeq and is a predicted model, not a curated record. NCBI's taxonomy places the organism in Eukaryota, Viridiplantae, Streptophyta, Magnoliopsida, Fabales, Fabaceae.